Molecule: long non-coding RNA, 439 nt
Organism: Megalobrama amblycephala (Wuchang bream)
Lineage: Eukaryota; Metazoa; Chordata; Actinopteri; Cypriniformes; Xenocyprididae
Exons: 3
Source: RefSeq, a predicted model, not a curated record
CUGGAAAGGAGUAAUUUUCUCUUUUAGAGGGGAUGGAAGACCAAGCAGAUACUAUAUUAAAAAGUGCUACACAAUGAUGGUUGUUCUUGCAUAUCUUCUGCCACCGUUGCCUGGAAGUCGAUGCAAUGUUAAAUCUGAAAUUUCAUUUCUUUCAAUUUAAUUUUGUACCGCGUGGAGCCACUAUUACAUCCCUCUGCAGCAGUUUUGAGACCGCAUCAAAGACCAGACCACAGCCGAUCUACAUUGGAAGUUUGAAGAGCACAACAUGACAGUACAUCAUUACGAGGAUUGACAGAGUAACCAUUCCUGUGGAUGAGGGCCUGAUGUGCUGUGGACAAUAUAUUCUAGGUGUGAAACUUGUCCUGUCCACCACAGAUUAGUUUGGUCUUUUCUUUCUAAGACUGGAGCAUCUAAUAUUGAAACACCACAUUCUCUUCUU